UACAGAGGUCUCAAGCGUUGUUCGGAUUCAUUGGGCGUAAAGGGUGCGUAGGCGGCGAGGUAAGUCGGAUGUGAAAUCCCGGGGCUCAGCCCCGGAACUGCAUUCGAUACUGCUUUGCUUGAGUACUGGAGAGGAGACUGGAAUUUACGGUGUAGCAGUGAAAUGCGUAGAUAUCGUAAGGAAGACCAGUUGCGAAGGCGAGUCUCUGGACAGUUACUGACGCUGAGGCACGAAGGCCAGGGGAGCAAACGGG
RNAcentral lists this ribosomal RNA (253 nucleotides) under uncultured bacterium. Its description in RNAcentral is "partial 16S ribosomal RNA". It matches the Rfam family "Bacterial small subunit ribosomal RNA", at positions 524 to 776 of the family's 1533-position model. The record is from RNAcentral.